Molecule: non-coding RNA, 45 nt
Filed under: Schistosoma mattheei
Lineage: Eukaryota; Metazoa; Platyhelminthes; Trematoda; Strigeidida; Schistosomatidae
Source: RNAcentral
AUUCAGCUGACGAGUCCCAAAUAGGACAAAAAGUACAUCCUGAAU